RNAcentral lists this ribosomal RNA (256 nucleotides) under uncultured bacterium. Its description in RNAcentral is "partial 16S ribosomal RNA". It matches the Rfam family "Bacterial small subunit ribosomal RNA", at positions 524 to 776 of the family's 1533-position model. The record is from RNAcentral.
UACGGAGGGGGCAAGCGUUGUUCGGAAUUACUGGGCGUAAAGGGCGCGCAGGCGGCUGCUCAAGUCAGGCGUGAAAGGCCUGGGCUCAACCCGGGAAUUGCGCUUGAGACUGGGCUGGCUUGAGUGCGGGAGAGGAUGGUGGAAUUCCCAGUGUAGCGGUGAAAUGCGUAGAGAUGUGGAGGAACACCAGUGGCGAAGGCGACUCUUUGGUCUGUAACUGACGCUGAGGCGACGGAAAGCAUGGGGAGCGAACAGG